CCUACGGGUGGCAGCAGUGGGGAAUAUUGGACAAUGGGCGCAAGCCUGACGCAGCAACGCCGCGUGAAGGAAGAAGGCUUUCGGGUUGUAAACUUCUUUUCUCAGGGACGAAACAAGUGACGGUACCUGAGGAAUAAGCCACGGCUAACUACGUGCCAGCAGCCGCGGUAAUACGUAGGGGGCAAGCGUUAUCCGGAUUUACUGGGUGUAAAGGGCGUGUAGGCGGGAAAGCAAGUCAGAUGUGAAAGCCAUGGGCUAAACCUGUGGCCUGCAUUUGAAACUGUUUAUCUUGAGGACUGGAGAGGCAGACGGAAUUCCUAGGGUAGCGGUGAAAUGCGUAGAUAUUAGGAGGAACACCAGUGGCGAAGGCGGUCUGCUGGACAGAAACUGACGCUGAGGCGCGAAAGCGUGGGGAGCAAACAGGAUUAGAUACCCUAGUAGUC
This 443-nucleotide ribosomal RNA is filed under the name uncultured bacterium. RNAcentral's name for it is "partial 16S ribosomal RNA". It matches the Rfam family "Bacterial small subunit ribosomal RNA", at positions 338 to 795 of the family's 1533-position model. The record is from RNAcentral.